GACGAACGCUGGCGGCGUGCCUAAUACAUGCAAGUCGAACGCUGAAGGAGGAGCUUGCUCUUCUGGAUGAGUUGCGAACGGGUGAGUAACGCGUAGGUAACCUGCCUGGUAGCGGGGGAUAACUAUUGGAAACGAUAGCUAAUACCGCAUAACAGUAGAUGUUGCAUGACAUUUACUUAAAAGGUGCAAUUGCAUCACUACCAGAUGGACCUGCGUUGUAUUAGCUAGUUGGUGGGGUAACGGCUCACCAAGGCGACGAUACAUAGCCGACCUGAGAGGGGGAUCGGCCACACUGGGACUGAGACACGGCCCAGACUCCUACGGGAGGCAGCAGUAGGGAAUCUUCGGCAAUGGACGGAAGUCUGACCGAGCAACGCCGCGUGAGGGAAGAAGGGUUUCGGAUCGUAAAGCUCUGUUGUAAGAGAAGAACGAGUGUGAGAGUGGAAAGUUCACACUGUGACGGUAGCUUACCAGAAAGGGACGGCUAACUACGUG
Molecule: ribosomal RNA, 495 nt
Filed under: uncultured bacterium
Lineage: Bacteria
Description: partial 16S ribosomal RNA
Rfam family: Bacterial small subunit ribosomal RNA
Source: RNAcentral